CGUAGGGUGCAGGCGUUAAUCGGAAUUACUGGGCGUAAAGCGUGCGCAGGCGGUUUCUUAAGUCAGAUGUGAAAGCCCCGGGCUUAACCUGGGAACUGCGUUUGAAACUGGGAGACUCGAGUGUGGCAGAGGGGGGUGGAAUUCCACGUGUAGCAGUGAAAUGCGUAGAUAUGUGGAGGAACACCGAUGGCGAAGGCAGCCCCCUGGGUUAACACUGACGCUCAUGCACGAAAGCGUGGGGAGCAAACAGG
RNAcentral lists this ribosomal RNA (251 nucleotides) under uncultured bacterium. Its description in RNAcentral is "partial 16S ribosomal RNA". It matches the Rfam family "Bacterial small subunit ribosomal RNA", at positions 526 to 776 of the family's 1533-position model. The record is from RNAcentral.